Siniperca chuatsi (mandarin fish) is the source of this 549-nucleotide long non-coding RNA. RefSeq lists it as uncharacterized. The record is from RefSeq and is a predicted model, not a curated record. The transcript is spliced from 3 exons. NCBI's taxonomy places the organism in Eukaryota, Metazoa, Chordata, Actinopteri, Centrarchiformes, Sinipercidae.
CGCUCGCCUAGCAGAGAGAGCAACAGUUCAGCUUUACCUCCACUGGAGAUGUAGCGCUGCUCGUCUUGUGAACGUUAAAGUUGCAGCCAGAACAUCAAAACAAGCUAGCAGAUACACAGCCAGAGUUGUUUUUGGCUAAUGAGUUAGCAAAGUUGUGUACAUUCACGUCCUGCGGAUGCAGAGAAACAUUAGCAUUAAUUUGGAGUUCUGUUUCUGGCCACCUCAUGAAUAGAUUAUAGUUUGUGGGUCUCACCUGCCACUACCGUCAGAGUCAGCUGGUGUUUUUGAUCAUUGAACCAGCCCGGUAUCGCCACACGGCAGCCAUACAUCCCUGAGUCGCUCUCCUCAACUUGCCUGAUGGUCAGUGACACAUCACCCCCACCAAGAUUACCCAUGAACAGGGGGCCUGGUGUGACCUCAGUGACUCUAGGGCUGUGGCCAUAUCAUCAGAAACCUCUUGCUGCUUUCAAAGAUCCUGUCCAAUGUCAGAUGUCCAGGCUAACCAAACGAAAUAGAACCUCUUCCCACAGAAAAUGUCUCAUUAUUUUC